RNAcentral lists this ribosomal RNA (499 nucleotides) under uncultured Desulfobulbus sp. RNAcentral describes it as "bacterial SSU rRNA". It matches the Rfam family "Bacterial small subunit ribosomal RNA", at positions 888 to 1382 of the family's 1533-position model. The record is from RNAcentral. Lineage: Bacteria; Pseudomonadati; Thermodesulfobacteriota; Desulfobulbia; Desulfobulbales; Desulfobulbaceae.
CCCGCUCAGAAACUCAAAUGAAUUGACGGGGCCCGGCACAAGCGGUGGAGUAUGUGGUUUAAUUCGAUGCAACGCGAAGAACCUUACCUGGUCUUGACAUCCCGGAGACCCUUAGGAAACUAGGGGUGCUUCCAUCUGGAAGAAUCUGGAGACAGGUGCUGCAUGGCUGUCGUCAGCUCGUGUCGUGAGAUGUUGGGUUAAGUCCCGCAACGAGCGCAACCCUUGCCUUUAGUUGCCAGCAGUUCGGCUGGGCACUCUAAAGGGACUGCCGGUGUUAAACCGGAGGAAGGUGGGGAUGACGUCAAGUCCUCAUGGCCUUUAUGACCAGGGCUACACACGUACUACAAUGGCCGAUACAAAGGGCAGCGACACUGCGAGGUGAAGCCAAUCCCGUAAAAUCGGUCUCAGUCCGGAUUGGAGUCUGCAACUCGACUCCAUGAAGUUGGAAUCGCUAGUAAUCGUGGAUCAGCAUGCCACGGUGAAUACGUUCCCGGGCCUU